This 497-nucleotide ribosomal RNA is filed under the name uncultured bacterium. RNAcentral's name for it is "partial 16S ribosomal RNA". It matches the Rfam family "Bacterial small subunit ribosomal RNA", at positions 28 to 507 of the family's 1533-position model. The record is from RNAcentral.
GAUGAACGCUGGCGGCGUGCCUAAUACAUGCAAGUCGAGCGAACAGAUGAGGAGCUUGCUCCUCUGACGUUAGCGGCGGACGGGUGAGUAACACGUGGAUAACCCACCUAUAAGACUGGGAUAACUUCGGGAAACCGGAGCUAAUACCGGACAAUAUAUUGAACCGCAUGGUCCAAUAGUGAAAGACGGUUUUGCUGUCACUUAUAGAUGGAUCCGCGCCGCAUUAGCUAGUUGGUAAGGUAACGGCUUACCAAGGCAACGAUGCGUAGCCGACCUGAGAGGGUGGUCGGCCACACUGGAACUGAGACACGGUCCAGACCCCUACGGGAGGCAGCAAUAGGGAAUCUUCCGCAAUGGGCGGAAGCCUGACGGAGCAACGCCGCGUGAGUGAUGAAGGUCUUCGGAUCUUAAAACUCUGUUAUUAGGGAAGAACAAAUGUGUAAGUAACUAUGCACGUCUUGACGGUACCUAAUCAGAAAGCCACGGCUAACUACGUG